AGGAAAACUAUAUUUCGAGCUGAAAAACCUAACACAGUAUAUUGUCAGGGUUUACAGCCAAUGGGUAUCAGGGGAAACCCGGAUGCCUCCCGCAUUUGGAAAGAAAUGCAUUGGAAAGAGAA
RNAcentral lists this non-coding RNA (122 nucleotides) under Clostridium sp. Its description in RNAcentral is "MoCo sequence". It matches the Rfam family "Molybdenum/Tungsten riboswitch aptamer (Moco RNA motif)". The record is from RNAcentral. RNAcentral also lists the same sequence under 1 other name. Lineage: Bacteria; Bacillati; Bacillota; Clostridia; Eubacteriales; Clostridiaceae.